RNAcentral lists this ribosomal RNA (253 nucleotides) under uncultured bacterium. RNAcentral describes it as "partial 16S ribosomal RNA". It matches the Rfam family "Bacterial small subunit ribosomal RNA", at positions 524 to 776 of the family's 1533-position model. The record is from RNAcentral.
UACAGAGGGUGCGAGCGUCAAUCGGAAUUACUGGGCGUAAAGGGCGCGUAGGCGGUUUAAUAGGUGUGAUGUGAAAGCCCUGGGCUUAACCUAGGAAGUGCAUCGCAAACGAUUAAACUGGAGUAGAUGAGAGGGUGGCGGAAUUUCCGGUGUAGCGGUGAAAUGCGUAGAGAUCGGAAGGAACGUCGAUGGCGAAGGCAGCCACCUGGCAUCAUACUGACGCUGAGGCGCGAAAGCGUGGGGAGCGAACAGG